UAAUACGGAGGGUGCAAGCGUUAAUCGGAAUUACUGGGCGUAAAGGGCGCGCAGGCGGUCUAUCAAGUCAGGUGUGAAAUCCCACGGCUCAACCGUGGAGGUGCAUCUGAAACUGUUAGACUUGAGUAUGGGAGAGGAAAGUGGAAUUCCCGGUGUAGAGGUGAAAUUCGUAGAUAUCGGGAGGAACACCAGUGGCGAAGGCGACUUUCUGGACCAAUACUGACGCUGAGGCGCGAAAGCGUGGGGAGCAAACAGGAUUAGAUACCCUGGUAGUCCACAGCUGUAAACGAUGUCAACUAGGUGUUGGGGGUGCUGACCCCUCUAGCGCCGCAGCUAACGCAUUAAGUUGACCGCCU
RNAcentral lists this ribosomal RNA (356 nucleotides) under uncultured delta proteobacterium. Its description in RNAcentral is "bacterial SSU rRNA". It matches the Rfam family "Bacterial small subunit ribosomal RNA", at positions 521 to 874 of the family's 1533-position model. Lineage: Bacteria; Deltaproteobacteria. The record is from RNAcentral.